This is a non-coding RNA of Rattus norvegicus (Norway rat), 973 nucleotides long. The record is from RefSeq and is a predicted model, not a curated record. NCBI's taxonomy places the organism in Eukaryota, Metazoa, Chordata, Mammalia, Rodentia, Muridae.
GCCAUUGUACUGGAAGCCAGCAACAGCCAGCCCCAGGGGCCAGUCCGGACACUGGGCAUGCGCUGAGGGUGUUUAUUUAUCCACCGAAGGCUGUGGGUGGCUCACCCAGCUCCAAGCACAGGGCUAGCAGCACCACGAUGUCAGAUCAGUCAGCCUUCUGUUACUGUGACAAAGUACCCAAGAGGAUCUACUUGGAGGAGGGAAGGUUUAUUUGGCGUCCUGGAUACUUGCUUGGUUCUGUACGUAGGGCUUUUGAAGUGGCAGAAUGUCACUCAUAACGCUGUGAAGUGGGCCUUCACAGAAAUGGAUCAUAAUAUACACGAAAAUAUUCCAAAACCCGAAAAAAGAAAAAAACUACCUCACAACAAAAACAAACUAUAAAACCCCAAUCCCAAACAUCUAAGCAUGCUAGCUUUUACAAGCUCACUGAGGAAAGCCACGGAUCCUCCCAGAAGCUCUACAAAGGAGGCUGUCAGCUGUUUCCGGUUCAGGGAAACAAGACACAGAGAGGAAGCCACGCCCCAGGGCUGUCCCGAGAGCACACAGCACGGUCUCCACCUGAACAAAACAUCCAGGAGUUCAUUCUGACAAUUUCCAGGAUUAUCCCUCCAGCGCGCUCAGGCCAUAAGGAGCAUCCUCACAUAGCAGAGACUCCACUGUGCUGAGAAGACACAAGUUAACAGACUUGGUUUGAUCGGCACAGUCCACAGACAGCAGGCUCGUAGACACGAUGACAGAGAAUUUCACCGCGGCAUGACGUAAGUGCCCAAACUAUUUCUGCUGAGUAUCCCAUCACAGGAAAUGUGAGGCUGUGACAUCACUCUGUGGUGAGGACAUUGUUGAAGGACUGCCGUAAGCAUGGUCCCCUCCCCGGCACUGUCCAUCUCCACACUCAGCUGUAGGUCUCCUUUCCCUCCCCAUAAAACUUUUAAUAAAAGACGACGUUCUUAAAACAAAGACUAUUUCCUUCAAA